RNAcentral lists this ribosomal RNA (433 nucleotides) under uncultured bacterium. RNAcentral describes it as "partial 16S ribosomal RNA". It matches the Rfam family "Bacterial small subunit ribosomal RNA", at positions 29 to 507 of the family's 1533-position model. The record is from RNAcentral.
AACGAACGCUGGCGGCAUGCCUAACACAUGCAAGUCGAACGAGACCUUCGGGUCUAGUGGCGCACGGGUGCGUAACGCGUGGGAACCUGCCCUUAGGUUCGGAAUAACUCCCCGAAAGGGGUGCUAAUACCGGAUAAUGUCUUCGGACCAAAGAUUUAUCGCCUUUGGAUGGGCCCGCGUUGGAUUAGCUAGUUGGUAGGGUAAAAGCCUACCAAGGCGACGAUCCAUAGCUGGUCUGAGAGGAUGAUCAGCCACAAUGGGACUGAGACACGGCCCAGACUCCUACGGGAGGCAGCAGUGGGGAAUAUUGGACAAUGGGCGAAAGCCUGAUCCAGCAAAGCCGCGUGAGUGAUGAAGGCCUUAGGGUUGUAAAGCUCUUUUACCCGGGAUGAUAAUGACAGUACCGGGAGAAUAAGCUCCGGCUAACUCCGUG